Molecule: long non-coding RNA, 401 nt
Organism: Chroicocephalus ridibundus (black-headed gull)
Lineage: Eukaryota; Metazoa; Chordata; Aves; Charadriiformes; Laridae
Exons: 4
Source: RefSeq, a predicted model, not a curated record
CUGCAGGUCCUUGUUGUAGGUGCUUGGGAGUCCUUUGAGAACCAUGAGAAUAGCAGCCAGCUGCAGAGAGAAACAGCAGGCUCACCCGUCCGAACACGCGGCCAGCUUUGCUGCGGAUCAGUUCCAGGCUAUCGGGGUUCUUCUUCUGAGGCAUCAGGCUGCUGCCAGUGCUGAAAGAAAAGUGUGUGCAGGGUAACGUGACUGUCUCCCCACGUCUGCCGAUCCCUGCUGAAACAACAUGCCUGAGAGGACAGCAGGAGAGAGCCUACAGAGAGCACCCCCAGACUGCCCCUCCGGAGAAGCAAAGUUCAUCCUCACCUCAGCUGCCAUUUCGGACGACAUUUUCCUGGUGUGCGCAGUGAUCCUGGCAACCGGCGCAACCUGCGGAACAGCGAGGUGAG